RNAcentral lists this ribosomal RNA (406 nucleotides) under uncultured eukaryote. RNAcentral describes it as "SSU rRNA". It matches the Rfam family "Eukaryotic small subunit ribosomal RNA", at positions 592 to 997 of the family's 1831-position model. The record is from RNAcentral.
CAAUAGCGUAUAUUAAAGUUGUUGCGGUUAAAAAGCUCGUAGUUGGAUUUCUGUCGGAGACGCGCGGUCCGCACUAUGUGCGUGUAUCUGUGUCGGCUCUGGCAUCCUCCUGGGGAACGGUGCUGCGCUUGAUUGCGUGGUCCGGUAUUCAGGACUUUUACUUUGAGGAAAUUAGAGUGUUUACGGCAGGCAAGCGCCUUGAAUAUAUUAGCAUGGAAUAAUAACAUAGGACUUUGGUUCUAUUUUGUUUGGUUUCUUAGAACUAAGGUAAUGAUUAAUAGGGAUAAUUGGGGGCGAUUCGUAUUAACACGUCAGAGGUGGAAUUCUUGGAUUGCGUUACGACGAACUACUGCGAAAGCAUUUGUCCAAAGAUGUUUUCUAUUGAUCAAGAACGAAAGUAAUGGGA